GCCUCGUUGGCGCAGUAGGCAGCGUGUCAGUCUCAUCAUCUGAAUAUCGUGAGUUCGAGCCUCACACGGGGCA
Molecule: non-coding RNA, 73 nt
Organism: Danio rerio (zebrafish)
Lineage: Eukaryota; Metazoa; Chordata; Actinopteri; Cypriniformes; Danionidae
Source: Rfam